Molecule: ribosomal RNA, 253 nt
Filed under: uncultured bacterium
Lineage: Bacteria
Description: partial 16S ribosomal RNA
Rfam family: Bacterial small subunit ribosomal RNA
Source: RNAcentral
UACGGAGGGUGCGAGCGUUGUCCGGAAUCACUGGGCGUAAAGGGCGCGUAGGCGGCCUGGUAAGUCGGGGGUGAAAUCCUGCGGCUUAACCGCAGGGCUGCCUUCUAAACUGUCAGGCUCGAGCACGGUAGAGGCAGAUGGAAUUCCCGGUGUAGCGGUGGAAUGCGCAGAUAUCAGGAAGAACACCGAUUGCGAAGGCAGCUCGCUGGAACGUUACUGACGCUGAGACGCGAAAGCGUGGGGAGCAAACAGG